Molecule: ribosomal RNA, 253 nt
Filed under: uncultured bacterium
Lineage: Bacteria
Description: partial 16S ribosomal RNA
Rfam family: Bacterial small subunit ribosomal RNA
Source: RNAcentral
UACGAGUGCCCCGAGCGUUAUCCGGAAUCAUUGGGCGUAAAGGGUGUGUAGGAGGUUUUGUUAGUCUUCUGUCAAAUUCUUCGGCUUAACCGGGGGCUCGCAGAGGAAACGGCAAAACUAGAGGAUGGGAGAGGUGAAUGGAACUCAUGGUGUAGGGGUGAAAUCCGUUGAUAUCAUGGGGAACACCAAAAGCGAAGGCAAUUCACUGGCCCACUCCUGACUCUGAAACACGAAAGCGUGGGUAGCGAAUGGG